AGAGUUUGAUCAUGGCUCAGAGCGAACGCUUGCGGCGAGCUUAACACAUGCAAGUCGAACGCGUACCUUCGGGUACGAGUGGCGGACGGGUGCGUAACACGUAGGUAAUCUGCCUUUCGGUGGGGGAUAACCAGGGGAAACUCUGGCUAAUACCGCAUAUGGUCUACGGAUCAAAGCCUUCGGGCGCCGGGAGAUGAGCCUGCGGCCGAUUAUUUAGUCCUAGUUGGCGGGGUAACGGCCCACCAAGGGUACGAUCGGUAGCUGGUCUGAGAGGACGAUCAGCCACACUGGAACUGAGACACGGUCCAGACUCCUACGGGAGGCAGCAGUGGGGAAUAUUGCGCAAUGGGCGAAAGCCUGACGCAGCUACGCCGCGUGGGUGAUGAAGGCCUUCGGGUUGUAAAGCCCUGUCGAGGGGGAAGAAGUAUGACGGUACCCCUCAAGAAAGCGCCGGCUAACCCUGUGCCAGCAGCCGCGGUAAUACAGGGGGCGCGAGCGUUGCUCGGAAUCACUGGGCGUAAAGCGUACGCAGGCGGACCGUUAAGUCGGGUGUGAAAUCCCAGGGCUCAACCCUGGACGUGCAUUCGAUACUGGCGGUCUCGAGUACGGGAGAGGUGAGUGGAAUUCCUGGUGUAGAGGUGAAAUUCGUAGAUAUCAGGAGGAACACCGGUGGCGAAAGCGGCUCACUGGCCCGAUACUG
This 700-nucleotide ribosomal RNA is filed under the name uncultured bacterium. Its description in RNAcentral is "bacterial SSU rRNA". It matches the Rfam family "Bacterial small subunit ribosomal RNA", at positions 8 to 742 of the family's 1533-position model. The record is from RNAcentral.